CAGACCUUUUUGAAUUAAAUAAGUUGCUUGUCUUUGAUAAUGGGAGGCGUUUCUUGAAAUCUUAGCUUUGCCUGCGUUAAUGGAAGAAGGAGCAUCUCAACAUCCAGACCUUUUUGAAUUAGAGGAGGUGCAUUUCUUUGAUUAUGGGAAGCGUUUCUUGAAAUCUUAGCUUUUCCUGCGUUAAGGGAAGAAGGGGCAUCUCAACAGCCAGACCUUUUUGAAUUAAAGAAGCUGCAUUUCUUUGAUUAUGGAAAGCGUCUCUUGAAAUCUUAGCUUUGCCUGCGUUAAGGGAAGAAGCAGCAUGUCAACAGCCAGGAGGAGAUCCUGUUCUCAGAGAC
This 338-nucleotide long non-coding RNA is filed under the name Phoenix dactylifera (date palm). RNAcentral's name for it is "long non-coding RNA (PDAC_LNC017443)". The record is from RNAcentral. Lineage: Eukaryota; Viridiplantae; Streptophyta; Magnoliopsida; Arecales; Arecaceae.